GCCUCUGUGGGUUAUGGAAAUCAUCUCGAGAGACUUACUCCCGCGAGUUGUGUAUAUCUUGCGAGAAGAUGUGGGUUCGAGUCCCACCGGAGGCA
Mycena galericulata is the source of this 95-nucleotide non-coding RNA. The record is from the annotation of a GenBank genome assembly. NCBI's taxonomy places the organism in Eukaryota, Fungi, Basidiomycota, Agaricomycetes, Agaricales, Mycenaceae.